This 441-nucleotide ribosomal RNA is filed under the name uncultured bacterium. RNAcentral describes it as "partial 16S ribosomal RNA". It matches the Rfam family "Bacterial small subunit ribosomal RNA", at positions 338 to 795 of the family's 1533-position model. The record is from RNAcentral.
CCUACGGGAGGCUGCAGUCGGGAAUAUUGGGCAAUGGACGCAACUCUGACGCAGUGACGCCGCGUGCAGGAUGAAGGUUUUCGGGGUGUUAACUUCUUUAUACAGGGAAGAAAAAAGACAGUACCUUUAGAAUAAGCUCCGGCUAACUACGUGCGAGCAGCCGCGGUAAUCCGUAGGGAGCAAGCGUUAUCCGGAUUUAUUGGGUUUAAAGGGUGCGUAGAAGGAGAAGCAAGUUAGUUGUGAAAUCCAUCGGCUUAACUGAGGAACUGCAACUAAAACUACCUCCCUUGAGUACCGGAGAGGAAAGCGGAAUUCCGAGUGUAGCGGUGAAAUGCGUAGAUAUUAGGAGGAACACCAGUGGCGAAGGCGACUUUCUGGACAGUAACUGACGUUGAGGCACGAAAGUGUGGGGAGCAAACAGGAUUAGAUACCCUAGUAGUC